UGGCUCAGUGAGGCGUCCGGACUGGCCCAGGGAGGUGGGCAACUACCACCCAGGGCCGGAAAGCUCUCCAAACUCGGUCAUUUAGAGGAAGUAAAAGUCGUAACAAGGUCUCCGUUGGUGAACCAGCGGAGGGAUCAUUACCGAGUUAUCCAACUCCCAACCCCUGUGAAUUAUACCUUUAAUUGUUGCUUCGGCGGGACUUCGCGCCCGCCGGGGACCCAAACCUUCUGAAUUUUUUAAUAAGUAUCUUCUGAGUGGUUAAAAAAAUGAAUCAAAACUUUCAACAACGGAUCUCUUGGUUCUGGCAUCGAUGAAGAACGCAGCGAAAUGCGAUAAGUAAUGUGAAUUGCAGAAUUCAGUGAAUCAUCGAAUCUUUGAACGCACAUUGCGCCCGUCAGUAUUCUGGCGGGCAUGCCUGUUCGAGCGUCAUUACGCCCCUCAAGUCCCCUGUGGACUUGGUGUUGGGGAUCGGCGAGGCUGGUUUUCCAGCACAGCCGUCCCUUAAAUUAAUUGGCGGUCUCGCCGUGGCCCUCCUCUGCGCAGUAGUAAAACACUCGCAACAGGAGCCCGGCGCGGUCCACUGCCGUAAAACCCCCCAACUUUUUAUAGUUGACCUCGAAUCAGGUAGGACUACCCGCUGAACUUAAGCAUAUCAAUAAGCGGAGGAAAAGAAACCAACAGGGU
This 684-nucleotide ribosomal RNA is filed under the name Metarhizium robertsii. Its description in RNAcentral is "eukaryotic LSU rRNA". The stretch from base 276 to 429 matches the Rfam family "5.8S ribosomal RNA". Lineage: Eukaryota; Fungi; Ascomycota; Sordariomycetes; Hypocreales; Clavicipitaceae. The record is from RNAcentral.